AGAGUUUGAUCCUGGCUCAGGACGAACGCUGGCGGCGGGCUUAACACAUGCAAGUCGAACGAGAAGCUCCAGCUUGCUGGAGGGGACAGUGGCGCACGGGUGAGUAACGCGUAGGCAACCUGCCCUUUAGUGUGGAAUAACUUCGGGAAACCGGAACUAAUACCGCAUAAUAUCCUAGACGCAUGGUUCUUGGAUCAAAGUCUUCGGACGCUAUCGGAUGGGCCUGCGUUGGAUUAGGCAGUUGGUGAGGUAACGGCUCACCAAACCUACGAUCCAUAGCUGGUCUGAGAGGAUGAUCAGCCACACUGGCACUGAGACACGGGCCAGACUCCUACGGGAGGCAGCAGUGAGGAAUAUUGCGCAAUGGGCGAAAGCCUGACGCAGCCACGCCGCGUGAAGGAUGACCCCCCUAUGGGGCGUAAACUUCUUUUAUGAGAGAAGAAAAACCCGGCUCGGUCGGGCCUGACGGUAUCAUAUGAAUAAGCACCGGCUAACUCCGUGCCAGCAGCCGCGGUAAUACGGAGGGUGCAAGCGUUGUCCGGAAUCACUGGGUGUAAAGGGUGUGUAGGCGGGAUUGUAAGUCAGAGGUGAAAUCCUGCAGCUCAACUGUAGAACUGCCUUUGAUACUGCAAUUCUUGAGUUUCGGAGAGGUCAUUAGAAUUCGUGGUGUAGCGGUGAAAUGCGUAGAUAUCACGAGGAAUACCAGAGGCGUAGGCGGAUGACUGGACGAAUACUGACGCUGAGGCACGAAAGCGUGGGGAGCAAACAGGAUUAGAUACCCUGGUAGUCCACGCCGUAAACGAUGGAUACUCGGUGUUGCUGGGUUUUACCGGCAGUGCCUAAGCUAACGCAUUAAGUAUCCCACCUGGGGAGUACGAUCGCAAGGUUGAAACUCAAAGGAAUUGACGGGGGCCCGCACAAGCGGUGGAGCAUGUUGCUUAAUUCGAUGCAACGCGAGGAACCUUACCUGGGCUCGAACGCUACCGGACAGUCCCUGAAAGGGGAUCUCCUUCGGGCUGGUAGUGAGGUGCUGCAUGGCUGUCGUCAGUUCGUGUCGUGAGAUGUUGGGUUAAGUCCCGCAACGAACGCAACCCCUAUCGUUAGUUACCAGCGGAUUAUGCCGGGGACUCUAGCGAGACUGCCUGCGCAAGCAGUGAGGAAGGUGGGGAUGACGUCAAGUCAUCAUGGCCCUUAUGCCCAGGGCUGCAAACGUGCUACAAUGGCCGGUACAAUGGGCUGCCACUUCGCAAGAAGGAGCGAAUCCAUAAAGCCGGUCUCAGUUCGGAUCGGAGUCUGCAACUCGACUCCGUGAAGUCGGAAUCGCUAGUAAUCGCGUAUCAGCAAUGACGCGGUGAAUACGUUCCCGGGCCUUGUACACACCGCCCGUCAAGCCAUGGAAGCCGGGGGUGCCCGAAGUCCGUGACCUAACCCUUCGGGGAUGGAGCGGCCGAAGGCAAAUCUGGUGACUGGGGCUAAGUCGUAACAAGGUAACCGUA
This 1496-nucleotide ribosomal RNA is filed under the name uncultured prokaryote. RNAcentral describes it as "partial 16S ribosomal RNA". It matches the Rfam family "Bacterial small subunit ribosomal RNA". The record is from RNAcentral.